CUCAUUCUGCGGCACCGGCCGGCGGCGUGAGGAGCGCGGCGAGCGCAGGUGGCAGUGUAGAAGCCAAGAACAAAAUUUGGCAGAAAUUACUCUGUGUGCAAGAAAAUGAAGAGUGUACUCAUGACUAAGCACAGGAACCUGGAAAACCACAGGAUUGCUGGGAAGCCAUGGAGGAUGGGAUGAACUCGGAGCUGGAGCUUGAGGAUUUUUUUUGGAAGUGAUGUGUGGGAAGUUAUACUGGUAAGAUGUGUCAAAGUGGAAUUAUCACUGUGUUUAUGAAUAUAUUUAUACUCUUGCAUUUGAUGGUUGUUAUUCUAGUCUGAGAAGGUUUUUUUAUCUAAACCUUUAAAUUGCUUCUGUGAGGUUGUGGUUAUACCACAAAUAUCCACAGAUGACAAAGUCCCAUUGUGUCAGCUAUCCUGCAGUAACUGGACCUUGGCCACAGUUUUAGUUCUCCCCAGUUGUGAGGUAGGUUGCAGAAAGAAUGAUUUAUUUCACUGUUAGAAUGGCUAAGAGUGUACAUCCCAUUAGGUAUAGCCAACAGCUGUCACCAGUAAACUGUUAAAUGAUGACAGCUUGGCAUCUUGAGAUUCUGAAAUCCAAAUAAAAAUUAUUAUUUUUUUAAUCCAUUGUUUAAAAAAGCCUUCAAGAAACUACACUUCAGGUAUAGUUUUGUGGGCACCUGUACCCUGAAACUGUAAGUUCUGUGUAGAGAGGCUGUAUCUCUGUUGGUAAACAGCAAGACCCUAAUCUGAGUGAGGUUUUGUGAGUGCCUUCAUAAAGCUUUCAAAAUACUGUAUGCCUUCAUAGGGUACCUGAAGAGCUAUCGCAGUUCUCAACUCCAAUUUAAAUAUAAAGAAGUAGAUAAAUCAAGAUCUUUGGGGCAGUUCUGCAGGGGACAGCUCUUCUAACCACUUUUGGCCAUCAUGUCACUGGGUUGUCACCUGUUGCUUCUGAGUGGGGACUCACUCUGGCGUAGCUGUGGAGAAAAAGCAUCAGUACUAAUUUCUGUACAGCCCUGUAGUUCUUUUAUUAUUAUCUCUUAUUGAGCAAAACAGUUAAGUAUACUUUAAAACCUUAAAUUAAUAGACCUUAUAAAGUCAGUUGAACUGUUUAUGUAGCACAGGUCAGCAUAUGUUUAUGGCUGCUUUGAACAUUAUUGAGUUCAUUAGCUUGUGCUAACACAUUUAGAACAGAAAAUGAAAAUGUUGUUUGUCUUUGGUACAAAAUUUU
Molecule: long non-coding RNA, 1233 nt
Organism: Melopsittacus undulatus (budgerigar)
Lineage: Eukaryota; Metazoa; Chordata; Aves; Psittaciformes; Psittaculidae
Exons: 3
Source: RefSeq, a predicted model, not a curated record